GGCCCAGUGGCUCAGUUGGUGAGAGCGCCGCCCUGUCACGGCGGAGGUCACGGGUUCGAGUCCCGUCUGGGUCG
This 74-nucleotide transfer RNA is filed under the name Lachnospiraceae bacterium. RNAcentral's name for it is "tRNA-Asp". It matches the Rfam family "tRNA". Rfam says of the family: Transfer RNA (tRNA) molecules are approximately 80 nucleotides in length. Lineage: Bacteria; Bacillati; Bacillota; Clostridia; Lachnospirales; Lachnospiraceae. The record is from RNAcentral.